RNAcentral lists this long non-coding RNA (808 nucleotides) under Numida meleagris (helmeted guineafowl). Its description in RNAcentral is "lncRNA (ENSNMEG00000002337.1)". Lineage: Eukaryota; Metazoa; Chordata; Aves; Galliformes; Numididae. The record is from RNAcentral.
CACUCAUCUCCGUCCCGUGUUCAUCUCCUGUUAAUCCCAUGUUAAUCCCAUGUUGAUGCCAUGUUGAUGCCACGUUCGAUGCACUGCUGUACUUAUCUCCGUCCCGUGUUAAUCCCGUGUUCAUCCCAUGUUCAAAUCACUGCUGUGCUCAUCUCAAUCCCAUGUUCAUCCCAUGUUCAUCCCAUGUUCGUCCCAUGUUGGUCCCAUGUUUGAUGCACUGCUGUACUCAUCUCAAUCCCAUGUUCAUCCCGUGUUAAUCCCAUGAUAAUCCCAUGUUCAUCCCAUGAUCAUCCCAUGUUUAAUCAUUGCUGUGCUCAUCUCAAUCCUAUGUUCAUCCCAUGCUCAUCCCAUGUUCAUCCCAUGUUUGAUGCACUGCUGCACUCAUCUCCGUCCCAUGUUCAUCCCAUGUUCAUCCCAUGUUCAUCCCAUGUUUAAUCAUUGCUGUACUCAUCUCAAUCCCAUGCCAAUCCCAUGAUAAUCCCAUGCUAAUCCCGUGUUCAUCCCAUGUUUGAUGCACUGCUGCACUCAUCUCCGUCCCGUGUUAAUCCCAUCUCAAUCCCAUGUUCAACCCAUGUUCAUCCCAUGCUAAUCGCAUGUUCAUCUCAUGUUCAUCCCAUGUUUAAUCAUUGCUGUACUCAUCUCAAUCCCAUGUUCAUCCCAUCCCCAUCCCAUGUUAAUCCCAUGUUAAUCCCAUGUUAAUCCCAUGUUGGUUCACCCCUGUGCCUGCCUCCACCCCGUGUCAUCCCGUGUUCACCCCAUCUUCAUCCCAUCUCGAUCCCAUGUUCAUCCCAUGUCAAUCCCAUGUUCA